AGUGAACGCUGGCGACGUGCUUAACACAUGCAAGUCGAACGAGAACGGGUUAUAGCUUGCGAUAAUUGUCAGCUAAGUGGCGCACGGGUGCGUAAUGUAUAGGUAAUAUGCCUCUUACUAAGGGAUCACAAAUGGAAACGUUUGAUAAUACCUUAUACUAAUUACUAACUAAAGUUAGUAAGGGAAAGAUUUAUUGGUAAGAGAUUAGCCUGUAUUGUAUAAGUUAGUUGGUGGGGUAAUGGCCUACCAAGACAAUGACGCAUAACUGGCUUGAGAGGAUGAUCAGUCACACUGGAACUGAGACGCGGUCCAGACUCCUACGGGAGGCAGCAAUGGGGAAUAUUGCACAAUGGACGAAAGUCUGAUGCAGCAACGCCGCGUGGAGGAUGACACAUUUCGGUGCGUAAACUCCUUUUAUAUAAGAAGAUAAUGACGGUAUUAUAUGAAUAAGCACCGGCUAACUCUGUGCCAGCCGCCGCAGUAA
Molecule: ribosomal RNA, 484 nt
Filed under: uncultured bacterium
Lineage: Bacteria
Description: partial 16S ribosomal RNA
Rfam family: Bacterial small subunit ribosomal RNA
Source: RNAcentral